Long non-coding RNA from Felis catus (domestic cat), 2746 nucleotides. RefSeq lists it as uncharacterized. The transcript is spliced from 4 exons. Lineage: Eukaryota; Metazoa; Chordata; Mammalia; Carnivora; Felidae. The record is from RefSeq and is a predicted model, not a curated record.
UGCGGUAAGUAUCAGCAGCUUUGGGGAUCGUCAGGAAUGUUUCUUGUGUAAAGUGGUCCCAACCCCAAAAUGUUGGAGCACGGCUACUGUGACUUACCGUUCUAGAAGUGGAAUCGGGAGGCAAGAGAGAUGCGCUCUUGCAUUUUGGUAGAGAUUGUCAAGUAGCCCUCAGGAAACGUUUAGUGGGCACCGCCCGUGCAUCGCGGGUGGUGUCAUGGCUGACGCUCGUGACUGACACCAACUGACAGCCCGGGGACUCGGUGUAUAUUCUGAUGGACGUCCGAUGGACGAUGAGGUCCUCGUCCUCUGUAAUCGACAGGAUGAAUUCCACCACUGGCUUCCCACACAAGAGACCAGAUCUGCCGUCCUGGGAUAAAACCCCGCUGAUCACAGACAGAGGCCGCUGUCACCAAUUUGCCUUCUCACCGUUCCGCAGGCCAGAGGUCUGCGAUCAGGUGUGGCCAGGGCCGUGUUCUCGCAGGAGGCUCCAGGGGAGGACCCUUCGUCACCUUCCCCAGAUUCUGGUGGUGCCCACCCAUCCUUGACGUUCCUUGCUUUACGACUUCCGCGUCCAUCAUACGUUGUUUGCUCUGUACAUCUGUCUUCCUGAGACGUUCUCUUCUCCGCCUGUCUUCUGCCGUUCUUACAAGGACACCAGUCACAUGGGACCAAGGGCCCACGCUAAUCCAGGAUGACCUCGUCGUAGUCUAACUAACUGCAUCCGCGGAGACCCAAUUUCCAAGUGUGGGCACCUGCACAGGUGGCCAGCACAAGGUGGCUCCUCGUGGUUGGGACCGAGGUGUCCAGAGGUCCCGGUCUUCUUGCCGGCUGUCACGGGCUGCCGUCAGCCCCCAGAGCCCACGAGCGCAAUUACAAUUUGGCAAAGCUCAGGACAGACAGAUUAGGGAGCUGUUUGUUCCGGUAGUUACCGCACCCCGAGGGGUCGCCCCCACCGCGGUCUCCCACAACGCCAGCUCCUGUCCACACUGCAGGAUGCUUCUCUCUACCGCGAUGGGCCACCCCUCCGAGGAGCAUCCAACAGAGGAAAUGGCCCCGGAGAGCCCCACGUCCAGGAAGUACGCGUACAGCCGAGCGCAGGGCUUUGUCCCCUCGUCAGGGGGGUGGCUGCCAGCCGCUGGCAUCCCGUGGGUCACAUCUUACAACCCUACAGGCAACACAUCUUCCCCGUUGGCCAAAAAAGCGCUCAGGAAACGUCACUCGGGAUCCCAGCUUGUGUCACUGCCCCCUCCGGGGCCCGGCCUCGAGCACAUCACAUCCUCAUCCCUGGGCCACACACGGAGCUGGGAAGGACACAACAGAAGCAGGACACUGGGCAGGCGGAGACAACACACGGAUAUUUUGUUUUGGUUUGUGGCUCCCUGAGCGUCCCUCGUGCAGACACAACGGCCGAGAAGUACGCGUUCGGGGCGGUGCGGAUGCCGCGGGGCCUCACAUCGGAAAGCAGUGUCCGGCAUCGGGGGGGGGGGGUGCCUUGAGCACCCCCACCCCACCCCCGCCCGUUACUCGCCAGCCGUGGGACCUGUGAGAAUCGCCAGCUUUCCUCACCCGUGGCAUCGUGGCCGUAAUCGUGCCACGGCGGCCAGCAGCCACCAGACUAGGUGACUGGAUGCUGUGAGGACAGAGCCUUGUCUCCCACGCGGAUCCGACCAAUAAACCCUACUCUUGUGACCAUCUUGGGAGUCUAAUGCCUCUCGGAACGUAUUUCCGGAAAAGGUGGGCGGUGGAGAAAGAAUGGAUUUUGGAGCUGGCCUCUAGAUCUGUGGGGAGUUUUCUUUCACUUUUGGUGGGGGUGGUAUAUUUCACUGAGGAAUGCUUUUGCUUUCACAAAGAGUGCCUGGGUGGCAAACAUCUUUCUUUUGCUCUCAAAGCAAACAAGAGUCUGGCUGAGUGUAGAAUUCUGAUAUUUCCGCUCUUUCUCUCAAAAUCUCUGUAACCACUGCUUCUGAAAUCGAGGGUCUCCACAAGGACCUCGGUGGCAGUCUGAUGGUCCCCCCUCCCGCGUGGGAGCGUCGUGGGGUCGCCUUCCACGUGGGGGGAUGAAGAGAAUUCGCCAGCGUGCAUGCGUGUGGGUGACUUUCCCCCGGACUCUGCCUUGACCCUCGCGUGUUUGCUAGCUUCGGGGGAACGUGCGCAUAUUGCCGUAUCGUAUAUUCGCGCACUGUGCCUCCAGCGUCUGCACAAGCACUGCUGGUCAGCUGUCGCCAAUGCUUUGUAACAAGCCGCCCCACCCAAUGGGGAAAGAUCAUGAGCGUGUGCUGUCCUGCUCACGGGCUAGCACAGCCUCGAGCUGCAGGGCUGCGGUCAGCGAGGAGGCCUCUCCUCUGCGACCAGCUACUGCGGCCACGUCCUCCGGUGCCUACGGGAGAUGUUCAAGAGCAAAGCAAGCCAUGUGGCUCAAAGCAACACCAACAGGACCAAGAAAUAUGUGCUUCCUGUAGCGGGGAAAGUCCCAAGUCACACGGCUCAGGGUGUGGGUGCAGGGAGGGCUGAGCCUCAGGGACAGGAAAGCGUCUGCUCGUUCAGAAUGUGGAUAUGGGUUCCUGGUUAACAUCACCCAUGCCUCUGACUCUUGCCCCUGUGGUCUCUCUCUCUCUCCCUCCCGUCUCCCUGUCCCUCCUUCUCUCCCUCCCAUCUUAAUUCCAAGUGAAUUGUAUGUAGUAGUCUCCUAAUUCUGUAAUUUGGUUCCGAGCAUAAAAUCAGGAAUAAAAAUAAGCCAUAAACCAGG